This 368-nucleotide ribosomal RNA is filed under the name uncultured organism. RNAcentral describes it as "bacterial SSU rRNA". It matches the Rfam family "Bacterial small subunit ribosomal RNA", at positions 526 to 896 of the family's 1533-position model. The record is from RNAcentral.
CGAAGGUCCCAAGCGUUAUCCGGAUUUAUUGGGUUUAAAGGGUGCGUAGGCGGGUUAUUAAGUCAGUGGUGAAAGCCUUCAGCUUAACUGAAGAAUUGCCAUUGAUACUGAUGAUCUUGAGUAUGAUUGAGGUGGGCGGAAUGUGUCAUGUAGCGGUGAAAUGCUUAGAUAUGACACAGAACACCGAUUGCGAAGGCAGCUCACUAAGUCAUAACUGACGCUGAUGCACGAAAGCGUGGGGAGCAAACAGGAUUAGAUACCCUGGUAGUCCACGCCCUAAACGAUGAUCACUCGAUGUGUGCGAUACACUGUACGCGUCUGAGCGAAAGCAUUAAGUGAUCCACCUGGGGAGUACGACCGCAAGGUUG